Arachis ipaensis is the source of this 843-nucleotide non-coding RNA. NCBI's taxonomy places the organism in Eukaryota, Viridiplantae, Streptophyta, Magnoliopsida, Fabales, Fabaceae. The record is from RefSeq and is a predicted model, not a curated record.
AUAGUCACGUCGUAAUUGUCAUCUCAAGUAUGCUUACCCCGUCAAUCAUGAGGGGGAGCUGCAAGGCAACUUAGGGGUCGUUGGGUUUAGCGAGUGAUAAUGCGUUGGGAGUGGUUUUAAUCUCCCGGUCAAAAGCAUUCAGCCAAAUUUAUGCUUCGAACCUUUUGUACUCUACUAAAAUAAGGCUUCGUAAAAUAUGGUGUGGACGGGUGGAUGGGCCAAUUCUUUAUUUGGGCCUUCCAACUGAGACCAGCCCGACUAUUUGUACGCGACUUGGGUUAAGUAUUCUAUCAAACCUCGUCCUCGCAUGUAUAAACUACCUUCAGUUUGUGACAAAAUAGAACUCUUGUCGUGCAAGUCAACAGAAUGGAAGGUUUAAGGGAAUCAGAGAAGAAGGAGGAUGCAAAUCACCCCACUGCAGAAGACUCUUCCGCCGAUGGUAUACGGUAUGGAAAAUUUUUUUCCGCAACACCCCUUUGCAUCGUUGGUUCAUUGUCGGGUUAAAAUCUAAGAUAUGUUUGUUUCAGUGACCUUCCAAAACUGACGGUAGAAGACUUAAUACAAGGUGAAGAUCCGUUGGUUGUUGUUUUCAACAAACUUUGCCGGCAUCUCAUGGAAAAUGUUAGCACCACACGAGCACUGCAGGCUUUCCAAGCCCGUACAUUGAAAACGCUUUUCGACUGCAUCAUGAGCCACGGAAAGAUACUAGAGAUUUUAUGGGAAGAAUAUGCGGACCAGCGCAGGAAGCAUUAUCCCCAAGCUGGGGUUGAACCGUGUGAGGCAGACUGGCCUGGAAAGAAGGAGGCUGUCGUCGCGAUCAAAGGUAUGACUACAAGGUCCCAG